UUGGGCCUGCCCGGUGAUAAUUUUAACGGCCGCAGUUAGGAGCUGUGCUAAGGUAGCGUAAUAAAUUGUCCUUUAAAUGAGGAAAUGAAUGAAUGGUUUGACGUAAAAAAUUCUGUCUCCAAAGAAAUUUAGGAAAUUUUUUUCUUAGUGAAAAAUCUAAGAUUUUAUUAAAAGACGAGAAGACCCUUUUGAGCUUGAAUUAUUAAUAUAGUUUAAUAUUAAAAAAGUUUGGUUGGGACAACCUGGGAGUAUAAAUAGCCUCCUUUGAGUAAUAAAAAUCCAAAAAUUUUGAAAAAAGAAAAAGUUACCGCAGGGAUAACAGCGUUAUCUUCUCUGAGAGAACAAAUUGAAGAGAAGGUUUGCGACCUCGAUGUUGAAUUAAAGUUUCCGUUGGGCGUAGAGGCUUAAAUGGUNNNNNCUGUUCGUCUUUUAAAGCUUUACGUGAU
This 446-nucleotide ribosomal RNA is filed under the name Waldo digitatus. RNAcentral describes it as "Waldo sp. 1 PD-2012 partial 16S ribosomal RNA". It matches the Rfam family "Bacterial large subunit ribosomal RNA", at positions 1853 to 2604 of the family's 2925-position model. The record is from RNAcentral. Lineage: Eukaryota; Metazoa; Mollusca; Bivalvia; Galeommatida; Lasaeidae.